GGCACGGUGGUGCAGUGGGUAGCACUGUUGUCUCACAGCAAGAAGGUCCUGGGUUGGAAUUCCGGCCUGGGCCU
RNAcentral lists this transfer RNA (74 nucleotides) under Anguilla anguilla (European eel). RNAcentral describes it as "tRNA-OTHER". Lineage: Eukaryota; Metazoa; Chordata; Actinopteri; Anguilliformes; Anguillidae. The record is from RNAcentral.